This 493-nucleotide ribosomal RNA is filed under the name uncultured bacterium. RNAcentral describes it as "bacterial SSU rRNA". It matches the Rfam family "Bacterial small subunit ribosomal RNA", at positions 903 to 1397 of the family's 1533-position model. The record is from RNAcentral.
AAAUGAAUUGACGGGGGCCCGCACAAGCAGUGGAGUAUGUGGUUUAAUUCGAAGAAACGCGAAAAACCUUACCAGGGCUUGACAUAUAGAUGAAUAUAUUAGAGAUAGUAUAGUCUUUCGGGACAUCUAUACAGGUGGUGCAUGGUUGUCGUCAGCUCGUGUCGUGAGAUGUUGGGUUAAGUCCCGCAACGAGCGCAACCCCUGUUUCUAGUUGCCAGCACGUAAUGGUGGGAACUCUAGAGAGACUGCCGGUGAUAAAUCGGAGGAAGGUGGGGACGACGUCAAAUCAUCAUGCCCUUUAUGUCCUGGGCUACACACGUACUACAAUGGCUACAACAGAGGGAAGCAAUACAGCGAUGUAAAGCAAAACCCCAAAAGUAGUCUCAGUUCGGAUUGAAGGCUGAAAUUCGCCUUCAUGAAGCCGGAAUUGCUAGUAAUGGCAGGUCAGCAUACUGCCGUGAAUACGUUCCCGGGCCUUGUACACACCGCCCGU